RNAcentral lists this ribosomal RNA (564 nucleotides) under Streptomyces sp. 306D12. Its description in RNAcentral is "bacterial SSU rRNA". It matches the Rfam family "Bacterial small subunit ribosomal RNA", at positions 93 to 671 of the family's 1533-position model. RNAcentral also lists the same sequence under 24 other names. The record is from RNAcentral. Lineage: Bacteria; Bacillati; Actinomycetota; Actinomycetes; Kitasatosporales; Streptomycetaceae.
UAGUGGCGAACGGGUGAGUAACACGUGGGCAAUCUGCCCUUCACUCUGGGACAAGCCCUGGAAACGGGGUCUAAUACCGGAUAACACCUGCCCGGGCAUCUGGGUGGGUUAAAAGCUCCGGCGGUGAAGGAUGAGCCCGCGGCCUAUCAGCUUGUUGGUGAGGUAGUGGCUCACCAAGGCGACGACGGGUAGCCGGCCUGAGAGGGCGACCGGCCACACUGGGACUGAGACACGGCCCAGACUCCUACGGGAGGCAGCAGUGGGGAAUAUUGCACAAUGGGCGAAAGCCUGAUGCAGCGACGCCGCGUGAGGGAUGACGGCCUUCGGGUUGUAAACCUCUUUCAGCAGGGAAGAAGCGAAAGUGACGGUACCUGCAGAAGAAGCGCCGGCUAACUACGUGCCAGCAGCCGCGGUAAUACGUAGGGCGCAAGCGUUGUCCGGAAUUAUUGGGCGUAAAGAGCUCGUAGGCGGCUUGUCACGUCGGGUGUGAAAGCCCGGGGCUUAACCCCGGGUCUGCAUUCGAUACGGGCUAGCUAGAGUGUGGUAGGGGAGAUCGGAAUUCCU